This 69-nucleotide non-coding RNA is filed under the name unclassified sequences. RNAcentral's name for it is "DUF3800-IX RNA". It matches the Rfam family "DUF3800-IX RNA". Rfam says of the family: Actinobacteria, Firmicutes (1 example), Nitrospirae, Proteobacteria, Verrucomicrobia (1 example). Nearby to DUF3800 The record is from Rfam by way of RNAcentral.
GACCCGUUUUCCGAACUGUCACCGUAUGGUGCGCGUGUCUGGAUAACCAGAAUAGGAAGCGGGUAUUUU